GGAUUUAAAUACACAGGAUGAGAUCGGCGAUGAAUUCUAUAAUUAUCAAUUAAUAGAGUUCGUAACUCGUGGACCGAAAGGGAAGGGGAAAGUCGAUAUUGUGCCGUCUUGCUGGUUCAAAUAUAAUGCCCAAAAAGGUAGAAUGGAAUCCCCAUUCUUACCACCACCGUACACUCACGAAACAUCUGAGAUGUUUAUCCAAUUUCUUAAGGAGAAACUUAAUCCCCUGAACAGCUGGCCAUUAUACACAGUUAAAUUGGUUGGACGAGCAAAAUUGAGGAUAUGGAAAAGGAAAUUACUGUGUUUUAGAAACAUAUGAAGAUGGGACGAAAAAACUUUUACUGUUUGAGAAUAGUGAUAAUUUUGUUUAUACAGCGAAUUCCGAUUUUAAUUCUCAAGGAAAAGCGAAAUAUAUUAAAAAUAAAUACAAGGAAAGAGUAAAGCAGGGUGAUUUUCCAAAAAUCCUCUUACAAAGCACAUCAAUAUCAUCAUCAGCCUCAGAUGAUUGUGACUCUUUGUAGGAGAAAGAGUAAUUAAAAUCGCUUCUCGAGUCAGGAACGAAAAAAUUGGGAAAGUAUAAAAAAGCAUGUGACGAAAAAAGGCAAAAAUGGCGGUAAAUCUCAAGCAAAAGGCAUUAUUAAACCAUCGGGCACUGAAAACUGCGACCAAAGCCGUUCUCUAUUAGUGGAAAAAUCAAUCAAAAAUAAAAGAUUUAAAAUAAUAAAUAUACAAAGCGAAGAUAUCUGUCCACCAGAGCCAAGAAAAUGAGAUGAUACGUUAUUUGAGACAUUUUAUUUGAAUCAAAUAUUUUAUCCACUAUGGUAGCCACAUAAUAAUGCUGAAGACCAGAUACUAAAUAACGUUGAACAAAAUAUCAGUAGUGGAGAAUCAACUUCUAAUAAUUUGGCCAACAUCAUAAACAAUAAUGAAAAAGAUUGUAAUGGAAACAAUCAUCAAGCUACUGAUAAAGUAGUUGAUCAAGAUAAAUUAGGUUUCCACGAACAACUAAAUAAGAAGAAUGCCACAAAAGAAGACGAAGCACAUAAAAAUAAACAUCAAGAUUCAUCUGGACACACUUACAAAAAUGUACAAAAAGAUGAACAUAAUUUAAAAAUCAAAAGGGGAUGUAUUUUUUCAGGUUAAGUACCACAGCUAAUGCUAUU
Long non-coding RNA from Belonocnema kinseyi, 1163 nucleotides. RefSeq lists it as uncharacterized. The record is from RefSeq and is a predicted model, not a curated record. The transcript has 5 exons. NCBI's taxonomy places the organism in Eukaryota, Metazoa, Arthropoda, Insecta, Hymenoptera, Cynipidae.